This 486-nucleotide ribosomal RNA is filed under the name uncultured bacterium. RNAcentral describes it as "partial 16S ribosomal RNA". It matches the Rfam family "Bacterial small subunit ribosomal RNA", at positions 28 to 507 of the family's 1533-position model. The record is from RNAcentral.
GAUGAACGCUGGCGGCGUGCCUAAUACAUGCAAGUCGAACGCUGGAGAUCUAGCUUGCUAGAUCGAAGGAGUGGCGAACGGGUGAGUAAUACAUAAGCAACCUACCCACGAAGACUGGGAUAAUCUCUGGAAACGGGGACUAAUACCGGAUAGGUAAUCGGAAGGCAUCUUCUGGUUAUUAAAGGUUAAAAACACUGGUGGAUGGGCUUAUGGCGCAUUAGUUAGUUGGUGAGGUAACGGCCCACCAAGACGAUGAUGCGUAGCCGGCCUGAGAGGGUGAACGGCCACAUUGGGACUGGGACACGGCCCAGACUCCUACGGGCGGCAGCAGUAGGGAAGGUUCGGCAAUGGGGGCAACCCUGACCGAGCGACGCCGCGUGAGUGAAGACGGCCUUCGGGGUGUAAAGCUCUGUUGUAAGGGAAGAACGGUAGAUAGAGAAUAUCUAAGUGACGGUACCUUACCAGAAAGCCACGGCUAACUACGUG